CAUGAAAUGUCUAUUAAAUACCGAUGCAGUUCUUUUCACAAACUCGUGGGUCGAGAGACAGUGAGAUGCUACAGCAGUGGCACGUGGUCAGAAGUACCCACCUGCAAAGACGCCUACUGUUCUGUGGACACUGCUGAAAAAGAUGGCUUUCAAUCUGUUGGAGUUGUAUUUUUAGAAUAUGGUGAGAGAAAGAGAUUUGAAUGUGUGAAACCGUCCAGGUGGUCGUUUGCACAUUAUUCUUUUGGCCGGUGCACUAAUGGAAGAAUGAGCUUUACUAAAUGUUGUAACAGGGCUGAACAUGCUGUGUAUUGCUAAGGCUGUAUCACAAAGGGGAAGACAAUGCUGCCUUUGGAUUUAUGCACAACCAACUGAAAACCAGCCUGGAAACAUUAAGUUAUGAUCAUGCUGUCACACACUGUGCUGGGCUUCUCAAGAAACAUUUCUGGCUUUUCAUUUUAAUUGAUGAAUGCCUACAUAAUUUAGGAGCAUAUGGUCUGUCAGUGUGCUCAAAGCUGUGAAAAUAACUUGACAGAUAAAUAUGGUGCAUAUUUGA
Thunnus maccoyii (southern bluefin tuna) is the source of this 553-nucleotide long non-coding RNA. RefSeq lists it as uncharacterized. Lineage: Eukaryota; Metazoa; Chordata; Actinopteri; Scombriformes; Scombridae. The record is from RefSeq and is a predicted model, not a curated record. The transcript is spliced from 4 exons.